AACAAGGCGUACCUGCGGACCUGCGGAGGGAUCAUUACAGAGUUCAUGCCCUCACGGGUAGAUCUCCCACCCUUGCGUAUUUAUACCUUUGUUGCUUUGGCAGGCCGCCUGGGCUCGCGCCUGGCCACCGGCUCCCGGGCUGGUGCGUGCCUGCCAGAGGAUCUCCAAACUCUAGUUAUCAGUGUUGUCUGAGUACUAUACAAUAGUUAAAACUUUCAGCAACGGAUCUCAGAUCGGAAG
Molecule: unclassified non-coding RNA, 240 nt
Filed under: soil metagenome
Description: partial contains 5.8S ribosomal RNA, internal transcribed spacer 2, and large subunit ribosomal RNA
Source: RNAcentral